AAGUGACGGUACCUGCAGAAGAAGCACCGGCUAACUACGUGCCAGCAGCCGCGGUAAUACGUAGGGUGCAAGCGUUGUCCGGAAUUAUUGGGCGUAAAGAGCUCGUAGGCGGCCUGUCACGUCGGAUGUGAAAGCCCGGGGCUUAACCCCGGGUCUGCAUUCGAUACGGGCAGGCUAGAGUUCGGUAGGGGAGAUCGGAAUUCCUGGUGUAGCGGUGAAAUGCGCAGAUAUCAGGAGGAACACCGGUGGCGAAGGCGGAUCUCUGGGCCGAUACUGACGCUGAGGAGCGAAAGCGUGGGGAGCGAACAGGAUUAGAUACCCUGGUAGUCCACGCCGUAAACGUUGGGAACUAGGUGU
RNAcentral lists this ribosomal RNA (357 nucleotides) under Streptomyces fradiae. Its description in RNAcentral is "bacterial SSU rRNA". It matches the Rfam family "Bacterial small subunit ribosomal RNA", at positions 467 to 823 of the family's 1533-position model. Lineage: Bacteria; Bacillati; Actinomycetota; Actinomycetes; Kitasatosporales; Streptomycetaceae. The record is from RNAcentral.